Non-coding RNA from Notechis scutatus (mainland tiger snake), 2558 nucleotides. The record is from RefSeq and is a predicted model, not a curated record. Lineage: Eukaryota; Metazoa; Chordata; Lepidosauria; Squamata; Elapidae.
GAAGUCCACAAGUCUUAAACUUGCCAAGUUUGAAGAUCCUUGCCCUAUGUCAUCCGGAUCAAUGCAUCUUUGAAUGUUAGAACAGGAAUGUCUCUGAAGUCCCUCUCUUGUUUUCUGUUCUUUGUAUUGCUGUUGUUUCUGCUGAAAGGAAGUCUUUCAAACCUUUAUGAUUCUCUCUCUCUCUCCCUCUCUCUCUCUCUCUUUCCCUCUCGCUCCCCCCUCUCCCCCCCCUCUUGAUUACGUAUGUGUAAUAUACCCAUAGCACAAUGGUGGGAUUCAGCCAGUUCGCACCACUUUGGGAGAACCGGUUGUUAACUUUCUGAGCAGUUUGGUGAACUGGUUGUUGGAAGAAAUCAUUAGGGCAGAGAACCUAUUGUUAAUUUAUUUGAAUCCCACCACUGCCAUAGCAGUUAUAUAAAUGUAGCUUAAGGAAUUGCCUGUAGUUUGCUUUGAUUAUAUUUUUCCUCAAACAGAAGUCCAAACAUCUGAAAGAGGUCUAUCAAGGCACGACUGCUAUCAUUUAUAAAAUUGUGUAUGCAAUUUCUUAUGAGCUUUAAUGGAAAGUUUUGUAGGAAAAAGCACCUAAUUUUGUUAUUUUUAUAGCUGAAACUUGGAAUGAAAAUGUUGUGUUAUUACAUGUUAUUACCUUCUUGCCAAAGAAUGUGGGUAGAUCUGCAGCUGACAAGAAACUUUGUGUAAAAUAAGAAUCAUAAUGUCCAGGGUUUUGUUUUUUAAAAAGAGCUAUAUUUAUAUGCAGCUUAUGGUAGCUCCAGAGUUACCAUAUCUAUAGUAAUGUCUCCAGAAUAUUCUUGAUAUUGGUAUUUUUUUCAUGGUUACAAAUUUAUACAUAGAUGAUAUGGAUGAUUUUUGGGAAGAUAAACAGCCUGAAACCUGGUUAGUUUUGGAUGGAGAACUACUUGAGAGUUCCAAGACUGUUGGAUCAGUGGAAAGUUUAAAUAAGAACAUCCUGGAAAAAGCUAGUGGAAAGACACUUCUGUAAUUUUGCCAAGAAAACUUCAUGGAUAUAAUCACAGGAGUCAAACUUGAUUCAAGGAUGUCUUUUAAGCCUCUCUAAAUGCUAAUUUCUUCAGCUAUGCCAGCCAACGUGAUACAAACUGAUACAAGCUAGUCUUGAACUUUUUUUGCUUAACGUUUGAACUGCACAAUUUGCUCCGUACCAAUAUUGUGAUUCAGAUUGCGGGGAGUGAAGGGAUAUCCAUCCCGCACUUAUAGUUAAAAUCAGCCAAGAUCAUGCUUGAUUUUAUGUGUAUGUGAGAGAGGAAAGACUAAAUUUAAAUAGCAUACCGAUUGCACUCUCAAAUUAAUGUCCAAAUGAACCCACUGUUAAAUUGGGAUUCUUUUAUGUUCAAGAGAAGUGUAUAAGAAUUUUAAUGCUUGGGAUAUGCUUUGGAAAGUAAAUGCUCGAAGCGGUUAUGAUUUACAGGAUCUUUUUAUGUCUUUCUCCAAAGAUAGAAUUAAAAGCUAUACAGAAAGGGCUAACAAUGAUUUUCGAAGCAUCUGUGUAUUUGCAGCUGUAUGUUUCAUUGUUUAAAACUGCUCCAAAAGCAUUUGAUUGUAUACAUGUUAUUGAAAAUGGUUGGAAUGGUAAGCAGUGGCAAACAAAUAAUGUGUCUCCGGCAAUUACAGUUGUGUUAUUUCCCCCGCUAUAUUUCAACAACAUUAUUUUUUCCAGAAGGAACAGCUUCUCUCCAGAAGAUUUUUUUAUUCAGGUGGGAUUCUUGAUAGGAGGAAGAUAAGCAUAGAACGCUAACUCAUGCAGGGUUACUUACAAUGACCUCUGAAGAUGUGAAAUUCUGCUUUUAAGAAUGACAGGAGAGCCGAAAUACAGUGGUGCAAAAACGCAUCAAAAUUAUCCAAGGCCAAAGUAGUAGAUAAGUCGGAAAAUUUAGAGAGUUCCAUCUGAAGCUAAGCAACUCUUGACUUGUCAACAUAAUUUCAAAGUGACAGCAUUGGAUUCGUUUGCAGUUGGAUCUGGAAGCUUAACACUUUGAGAUGUUUGCCACCUUGCAGCAUUGCAGGUAAUUUAAAUGAAGGGAAGCUCCCGGCUACUUGUUUUGAAUAUUAACAAUAAUCCCCCACAUUUGAGUUUGUAGAAAUCAAUACUCUUUACACACACACACACACACACACACACAAAUAUGGCUGGAAUGAGAGCGAUUUUUAUAUUUCCUGGGAAAUACACACAUACAGUUUUGCCUAGGUAGAUAAAAUCUUUGUAUUUAUUUCAGUUAUAUUAAAAGUAACCAUAACACUGUUUUUCUUUGGCCAGGAGAAGAUUUUUUUCUUCUAGAAGACAAAUGUUGAGUACUAUAGUAAUCAUGACUGUCAUUGAAAGAGCUAUUCAUUUUAGUUUUUAAUUCUAAUUCAGCAACAGACAACGACCUCCCUUACUAAAUGUGUGUGUGUGGGGUGUGUGUGUAUUUGUCUUGAUUCUGUUAAAUAUCCUAAAGUGAUCUAAAAUGAAACUAUGAUUUAUUUUUCAAAGUUAGCUUAGAGGCACAGAAAUAGUUUGUUCUGUUACCUGGUAUGGAGGUUGG